RNAcentral lists this small RNA (27 nucleotides) under Bombyx mori (domestic silkworm). RNAcentral describes it as "ovarian small RNA-22658". The record is from RNAcentral. Lineage: Eukaryota; Metazoa; Arthropoda; Insecta; Lepidoptera; Bombycidae.
UAGGAGACAGAGGCCGGUCGCGAUCGC